AGAGUUUGAUUCUGGCUCAGAACGAACGCUGGCAGCGUGGAUUAGGCAUGCAAGUCGAACGGGAAGCCGUUGAUCAAUUCUUCGGAAGAGUGAUUCGGUGGAUAGUGGCGAAAGGGUGAGUAACGCGUGGGCAAUUUGCCCCCUACGUUGGGGAUAACACCUCGAAAGAGAUGCUAAUACCGAAUGUGGUCUUCUAACGCAUGUUAGAAUGACUAAAGAUGGGGAUCCUUCGGGACCUGUCGCUAGGGGAGAAGCCCGCGUCCGAUCAGCUUGUUGGUGAGGUAAUGGCUCACCAAGGCUACGACCGGUAGCUGGUCUGAGAGGAUGAUCAGCCACACUGGGACUGAGACACUGCCCAGACUCCUACGGGAGGCUGCAGUCGAGGAUCAUUCGCAAUGCGCGAAAGCGUGACGAUGCGACGCUGCGUGGAGGACGACGGCCCUAGGGUUGUAAACUCCUGUCAUAAGGGAAAAACUACGCGAGGGUUAACACCCCUUGCGCGUGAUGGUACCUUAAGAGGAAGCCACGGCUAACUCUGUGCCAGCAGCCGCGGUAAUACAGAGGUGGCGAGCGUUGUUCGGAUUUACUGGGCGUAAAGCGUGCGUAGGCGGUUUUGUAUGUCGGAUGUGAAAGCCCACGGCCCAACCGUGGAACUGCAUCCGAAACUGCAGGACUAGAGUACAGGAGGGGAGAGCGGAAUUCUUGGUGUAGCGGUGAAAUGCGUUGAUAUCAAGAGGAACACCGGUGGCGAAGGCGGCUCUCUGGAAUGUAACUGACGCUCAUGCACGAAAGUCGGGGGAGCAAACAGGAUUAGAUACCCUGGUAGUCCCGACCGUAAACGGUGUGUACUUGGUGUUGGAGGUAUUGACCCCUCCAGUGCCGGAGCUAACGCGUUAAGUACACCGCCUGGGGAGUACGGCCGCAAGGCUAAAACUCAAAGAAAUUGACGGGGGCCCGCACAAGCGGAGGAGCAUGUGGCUUAAUUCGAUGCAACGCGAAGAACCUUACCUGGGCUUGACAUGGUACUGCACGCCUCCUGAAAGGGAGGAAGCCUUCGAGGGUGUACCACAGGUUCUGCAUGGCUGUCGUCAGUUCGUGCCGUGAGGUGUUGGGUUAAGUCCCGCAACGAACGCAACCCUUGUGGUUAGUUGCCACCGCCGGUGAUGAGCCGGCGAGCACUCUAGCCAGACUGCCCGUACAAGCGGGAGGAAGGUGGGGAUGACGUCAAGUCCGUAUGGCCCUUACGCCCAGGGCUGCACACGUGCUACAAUGGCCGGUACAGAAGGAUGCAAUACUGCGAAGUGGAGCAAAUCCCCAAAACCGGCCUCAGUUCGGAUUGGAGUCUGCAACUCGACUCCAUGAAGUUGGAUUCGCUAGUAACGGCGUAUCAGCUACGACGCCGUGAAUACGUUCCCGGGCCUUGUACACACCGCCCGUCACAUCAUGAAAGCCGUCUGCACCCGAAGUCAAUAAGCCAACCCGCAAGGGAGGCAGUUGCCGAAGGUGUGGGUGGUGAUUGGGAUGAAGUCGUAACAAGGUA
Molecule: ribosomal RNA, 1540 nt
Filed under: metagenome
Description: bacterial SSU rRNA
Rfam family: Bacterial small subunit ribosomal RNA
Source: RNAcentral